CAUACCUAUUCGAAGGGAUAGGGUCGGUUCGGCCGGAUUUUACACAAGUGUUGCAUGGCUGUCGUCAGCUCGUGUCGUGAGAUGUUGGGUUAAGUCCCGCAACGAGCGCAACCCUCAUCCUUAGUUGCUAUCAGGUAAUGCUGAGUACUUUAAGGAAACUGCCAGUGAUAAGCUGGAGGAAGGUGGGGAUGAUGUCAAGUCAUCAUGGCCUUUAUGGAGUGGGCUACACACGUGCUACAAUGGUGUCUACAAUGGGCUGCAAGGUGCGCAAGCCUAAGCUAAUCCCUAAAAGACAUCUCAGUUCGGAUUGUACUCUGCGACUCGAGUACAUGAAGUUGGAAUCGCUAGUAAUCGUGGAUCAGCAUGCCACGGUGAAUACGUUCUCGGGUCUUGUACACACUGCCCGUCACGCCAUGGAAUUGGUUUCACUCGAAGCU
Molecule: ribosomal RNA, 437 nt
Filed under: Wolbachia endosymbiont of Antheraea pernyi
Lineage: Bacteria; Pseudomonadati; Pseudomonadota; Alphaproteobacteria; Rickettsiales; Anaplasmataceae
Also listed under: 2 other names
Description: bacterial SSU rRNA
Rfam family: Bacterial small subunit ribosomal RNA
Source: RNAcentral